GGGGGGGGGGGGGGGGGGGCGGGGGGGGGGCGGGGGGGCGGGGCGUUGGGUGUUGUGACUUAGAGUUGGGUGGCGGACGGGUGAGUGACGCGGAGAGAAAUUGCCUCACAGCUAGGGACGACAUUUGUGAACGAAUGCGAAUAACUGAUAUGAUGAGUAUAAGUCAUCUUAUAAUUAUGCAAGCUAUAUGCGCUGUGGGGGAGCUUUGCUUCCCAUUAGCUAGUUGGAGAGCGACCGGCUCACCAAGGCGAUGAUGGGUAGCCGGCCUGAGAGGGUGAACGGCCACAAGGGGACUGAGACACGGCCCUUACUCCGACGGGAGGCAGCAGUGGGGAAUAUUGGAAAAGGGACCAAGAGUCUGAUCCAGCAAUUCUGUGUGAACGAUGAAGUUUUUCGGAAUGUAAAGUGCUUUCAGUUGGGAAGAAAAAAAUGACGGCACCAACAGAAGAAGUGACGGCUAAAUACGUG
Molecule: ribosomal RNA, 468 nt
Filed under: uncultured bacterium
Lineage: Bacteria
Description: partial 16S ribosomal RNA
Rfam family: Bacterial small subunit ribosomal RNA
Source: RNAcentral